UAGGGAAUCUUCCGCAAUGGACGCAAGUCUGACGGAGCAACGCCGCGUGAGUGAAGAAGGAUUUCGGUUCGUAAAACUCUGUUGUUAGAGAAGAACAGCGCAUAGAGUAACUGUUAUGCGUGUGACGGUAUCUAACCAGAAAGCCACGGCUAACUACGUGCCAGCAGCCGCGGUAAUACGUAGGUGGCAAGCGUUGUCCGGAUUUAUUGGGCGUAAAGCGAGCGCAGACGUUCAAUUAAGUCGGAUGUGAAAGCCCCCGGCUCAACCGGGGACUGUCAUUGGAAACUAGUUAACUUGAAUGCAGAAGAGGAGAGUGAAAUUCCAUGUAUAGAGGUGAAAUGCGUAGAGAUAGGGAGGAACACCGGUGGCGAAAGCGGCUCUCUGGAAAGUAACUAACGAUGAGGCUCGAAAGCGUGGGGAGCGAACAUG
This 429-nucleotide ribosomal RNA is filed under the name Bacteroidota bacterium. Its description in RNAcentral is "Bacteroidetes bacterium partial 16S ribosomal RNA". It matches the Rfam family "Bacterial small subunit ribosomal RNA", at positions 355 to 776 of the family's 1533-position model. Lineage: Bacteria; Pseudomonadati; Bacteroidota. The record is from RNAcentral.